Molecule: long non-coding RNA, 1071 nt
Filed under: Daucus carota (carrot)
Lineage: Eukaryota; Viridiplantae; Streptophyta; Magnoliopsida; Apiales; Apiaceae
Description: long non-coding RNA (DCAR_LNC002082)
Source: RNAcentral
UGAAUCAUAUUCGUUGAGAUUCAUUCUCAUUAUCAAAAAAAAAAAAACAAUAAACUGGUCAUAAUUACUCAAUGAAAAAAUUUAAAACAUAUAAAGGAUGAAAUAUAAGCGGGAAAAUAAAACCAUAAAUAGAAAACCGCAUGAGUAAAUGACAAGAAGUCACGAGAAUCCCGUUUUCCUCGUUUUCCCUGUGGUUCUUGCUUAACUCACAAAACAACGGCUGGCCAACAAAAUCUUCUGGCUAUCCACGCAUGCAUUGUUGGAAUUCUGGUUCUGCACUUUCUCUUUUCAACUAAAACAUUUUAUAAAUCAAAAUUACUAAAGAUACUUCUUCAAAUAAUACACCAAGGCCAAUAACAUAUAUACACACAUUAAGAGUCAAGAAUUGUCAAACAAAUUUCAAUAUGGGUGUGUUCCUAUUUCUACAAUCUUCAAUAUAUUUUGGUAUAAUUAAUAAGUCUCAAAAUGUUUGCUAAGAAAAAUAUAAUUAUCGUUGCUAUUAAGGUGAUUCUAAAAAUGUUUGCUAAAAAAAUUAUAAUUAUCACUGCUAGAUUAAAUCAUGUGAAAAAUAAUCAUGUGAAAAAUAGAUGUUAAUUUCAAUAUUGUUUUGCUUUCGAGCUUGUUAAAAAUUAAACAAGUUUGACUCUAGUAAAUUUGAGAAGAUAUAAAUAAUAUUAAAAAUUUAGAUAAAUAAACUCACAUAUGAGAAUCAUAUAUUUUAAAAAUAGAGUUUUUUUUAUCAUUUUGAUAUUUUAAAAGGUCCUCUUAUUAAUUUCUUAAAUAUUGAUGAUCGAUUAUAAAUAACUAUCAUGAACUCGAAUAAAUUUUUAUGACAGAUUACGUCAAACUCUAUAACAUGAAAAAUUAUAAAAGAUAAAUAAUAAAUAAUAAAUAAUAAAUAAAUAAUAAAUAAAGACAUUAAUAUAUUUUUUAUGUUCCUUAUAAAAGAAAAGAGGCUUUAGAAUCUUCAGUCCAUACAUGUGUUCUAACUCAGCAGCGGCGACUACUUGAACACAACUCCGGCGAAUCUCCGGCGACUCGAGAAUGGAAAUUCCGAUAACUCAACCGGUG